RNAcentral lists this ribosomal RNA (429 nucleotides) under Bacillota bacterium. RNAcentral describes it as "Firmicutes bacterium partial 16S ribosomal RNA". It matches the Rfam family "Bacterial small subunit ribosomal RNA", at positions 355 to 776 of the family's 1533-position model. Lineage: Bacteria; Bacillati; Bacillota. The record is from RNAcentral.
UAGGGAAUCUUCGGCAAUGGACGGAAGUCUGACCGAGCAACGCCGCGUGAGUGAAGAAGGUUUUCGGAUCGUAAAGCUCUGUUGUUAGAGUAGAACGUUGGUAGGAGUGGAAAAUCUACCAAGUGACGGUAACUAACCAGAAAGGGACGGCUAACUACGUGCCAGCAGCCGCGGUAAUACGUAGGUCCCGAGCGUUGUCCGGAUUUAUUGGUCGUAAAGCGAGCGCAGGCGGUUCUUUAAGUCUGAAGUUAAAGGCAGUGGCUUAACCAUUGUACGCUUUGGAAACUGGAGGACUGGAGUGCAGAAGGGGAGAGUGGAAUUCCAUGUGUAGCGGUGAAAUGCGUAGAUAUAUGGAGGAACACCGGUGGCGAAAGCGGCUCUCUGGUCUGUAACUGACGCGGAGGCUCGAAAGCGUGGGGAGCAAACAGG